This 547-nucleotide ribosomal RNA is filed under the name uncultured bacterium. RNAcentral's name for it is "bacterial SSU rRNA". It matches the Rfam family "Bacterial small subunit ribosomal RNA", at positions 356 to 896 of the family's 1533-position model. The record is from RNAcentral.
GGGGAAUAUUGCACAAUGGGCGCAAGCCUGAUGCAGCGACGCCGCGUGAGGGAUGGAGGCCUUCGGGUUGUAAACCCCUUUCGCCAGUGAAGCAGGCCUGCUCCUUGUGGGUGGGUUGACGGUAGCUGGAUAAGAAGCGCCGGCUAACUACGUGCCAGCAGCCGCGGUAAUACGUAGGGCGCGAGCGUUGUCCGGAAUUAUUGGGCGUAAAGAGCUCGUAGGCGGCUGGUCGCGUCUGUCGUGAAAUCCUCUGGCUUAACUGGGGGCUUGCGGUGGGUACGGGCCGGCUUGAGUGCGGUAGGGGAGACCGGAACUCCUGGUGUAGCGGUGGAAUGCGCAGAUAUCAGGAAGAACACCGGUGGCGAAGGCGGGUCUCUGGGCCGUUACUGACGCUGAGGAGCGAAAGCGUGGGGAGCGAACAGGAUUAGAUACCCUGGUAGUCCACGCCGUAAACGUUGGGCACUAGGUGUGGGGGGCCUUUUCCGGGUCUUCCGCGCCGUAGCUAACGCAUUAAGUGCCCCGCCUGGGGAGUACGGCCGCAAGGCUA